GACGAACGCUGGCGGCGUGCUUAACACAUGCAAGUCGAGCGGUAAGGCCCUUUCGGGGGUACGACGAGCGGCGAACGGGUGAGUAACACGUGGGUGACCUGCCCUCAGCUCUGGGAUAAGCCUGGGAAACCGGGGUCUAAUACUGGAUAUGACUCCAUGACGCAUGUUGUGGGGUGGAAAGCCUUGUGCGGCUGAGGAUGGGCCCGCGGCCUAUCAGCUUGUUGGGGGGGUGAU
RNAcentral lists this ribosomal RNA (234 nucleotides) under uncultured bacterium. RNAcentral's name for it is "partial 16S ribosomal RNA". It matches the Rfam family "Bacterial small subunit ribosomal RNA", at positions 28 to 261 of the family's 1533-position model. The record is from RNAcentral.